Onychostoma macrolepis is the source of this 1309-nucleotide long non-coding RNA. RefSeq lists it as uncharacterized. The record is from RefSeq and is a predicted model, not a curated record. NCBI's taxonomy places the organism in Eukaryota, Metazoa, Chordata, Actinopteri, Cypriniformes, Cyprinidae. The transcript is spliced from 4 exons.
AGUGCCCAAACGGAUAUUAACAGAUCAAGGCAGAGAAUUUGUGAACACUAUCAACACUGAAGUCUGCAAAAAGUUAGGAAUUAAGAGGAGUCUUUGUGCCCUAUACCACCCUCAGACAAACGGACUGGUGGAGAGGCUCAAUGGUACCAUACAGAGAUUCCUUGUAAAACUGGUCAAAGCCAAGCACCUGGGACCAAUAUUUGGAUGCAGCUAUGUUUGGGCUGCGCACAAAGAAGCAGCUCACAACAAAGUUCUCACCAUUUUUCCUUAUGUUUGGGAGAGAAGCCAGAUACCCAUCUGAGGUCCCAAAACAUUAUCAGGUUGAUGGCUCCUUUGAAAUUGACUACAGUGAAGAAGGGGUGGCCAUUGAUAUUAAACGUCAUGAAGAAAUUAUUGAGCUGGUAGAGAAAAAUGUUCAAAAAACACAUGAAAGAACAAGAAGGCGACUAACAAGAAGGCAACUCCAAAGCCUUGAGGUGGGAGACGUGGUGUGGAGGAAGAAUGUUCGCAGUGAACAACGGAAAGGGGGGAAACUUGACCCAGAUUAUUUUGGUCAAGUCAAGUCAAGUCACCUUUAUUUAUAUAGCGCUUUUAACAAUACAGAUUGUGUCAAAGCACUUAACAGUAUCAAAUUAGAGGAUAGAGUGUCAGUAAUGUAUAAUGAUAAGAUUAAACACUCAAUUUUCAGUUAAAGGCAUUUCAUUAUUGAAUUCAGAGAUGUCAUUGUCUAGCUCGGUUUAGUUUAAAUAGUAUCUGUGCAAUCAAAUUGCGCGAUAAUCGCUAGAAAUUAAGUGUCCCCAACUGAGCAAGCCAGAGGCUACAGCGGCAAGGAACCAAAACUCCCUCCGAGACAGAAUGGAGAAAAAAACCUUGGGAGAAACCAGGCUCAGUCGGGGGUGACGAUCAGGGCUGUAGACAUCAUCUCUUGGUGCUGAUCCACCAUCUGAUCGGAUACGGACUGAGAAACAGACUAGGAAAGAAACAGACAAAUAUUAGCGUAGAUGCCAUUCUUCUUACGAUGUAACGAGUACAUCGUGUGUUAUGGGGAGUGUUCCCGGUUCCGGUUGAUCUAAUUAAUGCAGCCUAACAAUCCUUUAAUGGAUUUGAAUAAUAGAAGCGUAUUAAUGUGUUAUGUGUAAGCCAGGCUAAAGAGAUGGGUCUUUAAUCUAGAUUUAAACUGACAGAGUGUGUCUGCCUCCCGAACAGUGUUAGGUAGAUUGUUCCAGAGUUUGGGUGCUAAAUAGGAAAAGGAUCUGCCGCCCGCAGUCGAUUUUGAUAUUCUAGGUAUUAUCAAACGGCCAGAGUUUUG